This 460-nucleotide ribosomal RNA is filed under the name uncultured bacterium. RNAcentral describes it as "partial 16S ribosomal RNA". It matches the Rfam family "Bacterial small subunit ribosomal RNA", at positions 338 to 795 of the family's 1533-position model. The record is from RNAcentral.
CCUACGUGGGGCAGCAGUGAGGAAUAUUGGUCAAUGGACGCAAGUCUGAACCAGCCAUGCCGCGUGCAGGAAGACGGCUCUAGGAGUUGUAAACUGCUUUUGUACGAGGGUAAAUCCCGAUACGUGUAUCGGGUUGAAAGUAUCGUACGAAUAAGGAUCGGCUAACUCCGUGCCAGCAGCCGCGGUAAUACGGAGGAUUCAAGCGUUAUCCGGAUUUAUUGGGUUUAAAGGGUGCGUAGGCGGUUCGAUAAGUUAGAGGUGAAAUCCCGGGGCUCAACUCCGGCACUGCCUCUGAUACUGUCGGGCUAGAGUUUAGGUGCGGUAGGCGGAAUGUAUGGUGUAGCGGUGAAAUGCAUAGAGAUCACGCAGAACUCCGAUUGCGAAGGCAGCUUACUAAGCCAUAACUGACACUGAAGCACGAAAGCGUGGGGAUCAAACAGGAUUAGAUACCCUUGUAGUC